RNAcentral lists this transfer RNA (76 nucleotides) under Chloroflexota bacterium. Its description in RNAcentral is "tRNA-Gly". It matches the Rfam family "tRNA". From Rfam's summary of the family: Transfer RNA (tRNA) molecules are approximately 80 nucleotides in length. Their secondary structure includes four short double-helical elements and three loops (D, anti-codon, and T loops). Further hydrogen bonds mediate the characteristic L-shaped molecular structure. tRNAs have two regions of fundamental functional importance: the anti-codon, which is responsible for specific mRNA codon recognition, and the 3' end, to which the tRNAs corresponding amino acid is attached (by aminoacyl-tRNA synthetases). tRNAs cope with the degeneracy of the genetic code in two manners: having more than one tRNA (with a specific anti-codon) for a particular amino acid; and 'wobble' base-pairing, i.e. permitting non-standard base-pairing at the 3rd anti-codon position. The record is from RNAcentral. Lineage: Bacteria; Bacillati; Chloroflexota.
GCGGGGGUAGCUCAACUGGUAGAGCGCUAGCCUUCCAAGCUGGAUGUUACGGGUUCGAGCCCCGUCCCCCGCUCCA